This is a non-coding RNA of Desarmillaria tabescens, 97 nucleotides long. NCBI's taxonomy places the organism in Eukaryota, Fungi, Basidiomycota, Agaricomycetes, Agaricales, Physalacriaceae. The record is from the annotation of a RefSeq genome assembly.
GCAUCAAUGGGGUAGUGGUAACCUGGGUCAUUGCCAUAUUUGACUAAACUGUACGCAUCUCUUCAACCUGCCGGGGGUUUGAUUCCCCCUUGAUGCA